This 442-nucleotide ribosomal RNA is filed under the name uncultured bacterium. Its description in RNAcentral is "bacterial SSU rRNA". It matches the Rfam family "Bacterial small subunit ribosomal RNA", at positions 958 to 1398 of the family's 1533-position model. The record is from RNAcentral.
AACGCGAAGAACCUUACCUACCCUUGACAUAUUAGUGAACUAUGCUGAGAAGUAUAGGAAUCCGAAAGGAACACUAUUACAGGUGCUGCAUGGCUGUCGUCAGCUCGUGUCGUGAGAUGUUGGGUUAAGUCCCGUAACGAGCGCAACCCUUGCUCCUAGUUACCAGCACGUAAAGGUGGGGACUUUAGGAGGACUGCCGGUGUUGAACCGGAGGAAGGCGGGGACGACGUCAAGUCAUCAUGGCCCUUACGGGUAGGGCUACACACGUGCUACAAUGGCCAGUACAGAGGGCCGCGAAGGGGUGACCUGGAGCCAAUCUCAGAAAGCUGGUCGUAGUCCGGAUUGGAGUCUGCAACUCGACUCCAUGAAGUUGGAAUCGCUAGUAAUCGCAAAUCAGCAUGUUGCGGUGAAUACGUUCCCGGGCCUUGUACACACCGGAGUA